Molecule: long non-coding RNA, 4812 nt
Filed under: Canis lupus familiaris (dog)
Lineage: Eukaryota; Metazoa; Chordata; Mammalia; Carnivora; Canidae
Description: lncRNA (ENSCAFG00845009679.1)
Source: RNAcentral
UUUUUUUUCUUUCUUCUUUUUUAAAACAGGUAAAAUCGGUAUCUUCUUACCCCUAAACUAGGCAUUUAAAUAUCAAGUGCAUCUAUUCUAUGACUCCAGACUGCCUACAUUUGGAGCAGCAGUAAUACCCUUUUCUCUUCUGGAGAUAGCAAGAUUUAAGAAACAAACAAAGAAAAAAGAUCUAUUCAGGAAGCUCAUCAGGCAGAAGCAAUAUAGGUCAAAGAAAUAACAAUUGAAUAGGUUUCUAGGGCUGCUUACACUUUUACUUGUAUUUGAUGGAAGACAAAAACAGUACAAUUAGCAUGUACCACUUCCUACAGGGUGGGGGGGCGGCUACCUUAUUACAGAACAACCCUCAAGAACUAGAAAAGACAGAUAAAAUUUGAAAAAGGAGAGCUCCCGGGGCAAAGAGGACAUGUGAGACCAAGAUCCAAAAGAAAAGGGAAGUGCAAAGGUGAGCCAGAUAUUCCAUGCAACUACUCUGUAAGCAUGUAGUCAAAUUCAACGUCUAUCCAUGAAAAUACUCUUAGCCAAUUUCGAAAGUAAAGGAACUUGCUUAACCUGAUAAAGGGUAUUUACGAAACAUAGCAACCAUAAUAUUUAAUAGUCACACUUUGAAAACUUUCCCACUGAGAUUAGGAAUGAGACAAGGCUGCCUGCUAUGACCACUUCUAUUCUGUGUUAUCAUAGAGGUCUAAGCCAGCACAACAGGCAAGAAAAUAAAAGGAAAGGAAGGAAGGGAAGACUGCAAAGGAAGAAGGUAGUUUGAUUGUGUACAUGGAAAUUCCAUAAUAAUCUACACAGAAUUAUUUGAAUUAAUAAGUGAAUUUAGGAAAGUCAUUGGAUAAAUAAAAAUCAGCUGUAUUUCUGUAUACCCACAGACUAACAACCAGAAAAUAUGUUUUAAAAUGCUAUCAUUUAUAAUAGCAUCAACUGACUUCAAAUACUACAACUAUAUCUGAAGAAAGAUGUGCCAUACCUUUACCACAUGGAGAACAGAGAUGAAAGAUCUAAAUAAUUGACGGGAUACACCACAUUAAUUAAUUGAAAGAGGCAAAAUUUUAAAGACAUUAGUUUAUUCCUAAAUUGGGCAAAAUUUUAAAUACAUUAGUUUUAAAAAAAAGACAUUAGGGGAUCCCUGGGUGGCUCAGCGGUUUGGCGCCUGCCUUUGACCCAGGGCGCGAUCAUGGAGUCCCGGGAUCGAGUCCCCACGUCAGGCUCCCGGCAUGGAGCCUGCUUCUCCCUCCUCCUGUGUCUCUGCCUCUCUCUCUCUCUCUCUCUUUCUCUCUCUCUCUCAUAAAUAAAUAAAUAAAUAAAUAAAUAAAUAAAUAAAUAAAUAAAUAAAUAAAUCUUUAAAAAAAAAAGACAUUAGUUUAUUCCUAAAUUGGGCUAGAGAUUUGAUUCUGUCCCAAUCAAAAUCCCAUCAAAGAGGCUUUUAAAAUUUGUAGAGUAAUGCAUAUGUCUAAGAAUAAGACGCUUCUUAAAUAAGAACAAAACUGGACAUAUGCUAUCAGAUAUGGACUCCUUAUUGAGCUAUAUUAAGACUGUGGUAUCAGAAUAAGAAUAGCCAAAUAGAACAACAGAAAGUGCUAGAAAGCAGAUAGAGGUCUACAUAUAAAUGAUCACCUGAUUUAUAAUGAAAUGACCUUUCAGAGCUGUGGAAGAGACUUUUCAAUAAGUAGCAUAGGAGGUUAAUUGGAUAUACAUGUGGAAAACAAAAUAAAUAUGGAUCUCUUUUUUAUGUCAUAGGUAAAAAAAAAAAAAUCAACCUCAGGUGGAUUUUUUACCUACAGGUAAAAGGCAAAACAAUUGGGCUUCUACAAAUCAAAAUAGGAAAGUAACUUCAUGACCUUAGGGUAGGCAAACAUUUCUUCAGCAGUCACAGAAAACAAUAACCAUAAAGGAAGAGGUUAGCAAGUUGAAUUACACUUAUAGCAAGAUCUCCUAAUCAAAGAGAGUCAAAUGGCAAGCCACAGAAUAAUAAAAGAUAUUUUAAAUACAUAUAACUGGGUAGAAUAUUUGUAUUCAGAUUUGUUUUUAAAAAUUCCUACAAAUCAAUAAGGAAAAGACAAUCCAAUUUUAAAAUAGGCAAUAAACUUGAACAGAGACUAUAAAAGAAAACAAAAGUGACCAAAAAAAUAUUAGAAAGACACAACACCAUUAGUCACCAGGGCAAAUCAAAACCACAAUGAAGCACCACUACAUACCCACCAUAAUGUCUAAAAUUUAAAAGUUUGACAAUCCCAAGUGUUGACAAGUAGGUAGAGAAACUGAAACACUCAAACUGAUGACAGGAAUAUAAACUGGUACAACCACUUAGAAAAACUCUUUGUAAGAACUUACUAAAUUUGGACAUACAUACUGCAGUCCCAGCAAUCUGGUCUUAGGGGUAUACCAUGCAGAAAUGCAUUCACAUGUACACCAAAAAACACACAAAACAGUUUAGAGCAGCAUUAUUCAUAGUAGCCCUAAACUGGAAAUGUCCCAAAUGCCCAUCAACAAAUAGUAGAUGAAUGAACCAUCUGGAAAAUGUUAUAAAAUGGACUGCUAUACAGCAAUAAAAAGAAACUACUGCUCCGCAUCACAAUGUGGAGGACUCUCUCAAGUAAUGUGCACAAGAAGCCACAAAAAAAGGGGGUAUAUACAUAUAUCUAAAGUUCCAUGUAUAUUUCAUCUACUUUCAAAAUUGGAACACCAUGGUAUUAGAAGUCAGUUUAGUAGUUACAAUGGGGGAAAGAGAGGGUGUAAUUACUGGGAGGGUACAUGAGGUAGUUUCCAGGGGAACAGUAAUACUCUCUCUCUUGAUCUGGGAGUGAAAAUGUGGAUGGAUGUACUAUUUGAAAAUAUAUUGAGCAAUGAUUUAUGUACUUUUCUGUGAAUGUCUUACCCUCUAAAAUUGUAUGUUUAAAGAAGAAUAGUGCAAAUAUUCUGGGAGAAGGAUACAGCACCUCUUAUUCUCAAGGGGGCACCUGAGCUAUCUCAGGUAUAGCAAUGCAAAAAGUGAUGGAGCUGCAGGAUUGCAGGGAUGGUGGAUGAGCCAGAGGUGGUGUCUGUCACCAUUAGACACACUCGCUCUGGCAUCUGUGCAGCAGCUAUAGAUCAGAAGCAGUAAUCCUUGAAUGAGAAAGCUGGUAUAGAAGCAAAACGAGAUUAGAAACACACAAUUGAGGGAAUGUUUCACAUUAUCCAAAAGCUUUAUUUUGGAUAAUGAAAUUUUCCAACUCUUACACAAAGUAUCUUACAAUUUUCAAAUAGUGGCUGAAAUACUCUGCAUUCAUUCUACUGUCUAGUAAAUGAAACCCAAAGUCCUUCAACCAGGUAAGAAGAUUGAGACAGCUACUGCUUCUUAUUACCCAGUAUAUUUUUUGCUCUUGAAUUUGCUUCUUAGAGGGAAAGAUGGGCCCAUUAUCUAUCCCAGUUAGAGUAUGCUAUAUCACUGGGCAUACUAAUUGGAUCAAGUUAGACAAUCGGGACCAAUCAGGAUCCUUCCUGGAGACCAAGAUAAGGACACUGGAAAAAAGAAGACCCCUUUCAUGUGAGGGACAGUGUGAAAAGGAUAUUAGUAGGUGGACAUGAGAGACCAUCUUCUUUUUCUCUAGUGUCACCAUAGGAAGAAGUCAAGACAAUGAGGUAUCAAGUUAAAAAUGCUGACAGUCCCAUUCAAGUCCCUGGAUCCAGCCAUGCCUGAAUUCUCAGAUGUAUGAGUCACAUAAAUUCCUUUUCUUGAGUUGGUUUAAAUUUUGCUUUAAUUCAGUUCUUUCAGGUUUUUUCUAUAAGCCAGAAAGCCCUGAAUCUCCAUUAUCACCCCCACCGCUAUGUAUGUAUGUGGCAUUCAAGUACCCAACAGACUGGACCCAAUUUGAAUUUCUAGUCUUGUCCAACCACUGUCCAUCUUCCUAUGGCCAACAGCAUGUCCAAUCUCAAGCCCAGGAAACAUACUCCAUCCAAGAAUUACCAAUAAGCCAAGUUCAACUUAAACCAAUCUACUCCCAAACACACAUUUGAUAGCCAACACAUCAUUCCUGGUAUGGAUGAUUAGAAAAUACAAGAAACUGGGGCUUAGGCACAGAUUUUUGUAAAGUGGGGGAGGGAGGUUGUAAGGCAGAUGGCAGGCAGGGGAAGCGGUUUUUGCAGAGAAGCUUUUGAAAGCUACAGGAAGCCAAAGAAAUGAAAACCUGGAAUUGACAGCAUAUGCUUUGGCACGAAGCUAAAUACCCUACGCAUUGGGGUGAGACAUCUGAGAACUUCCUAAUCAGUUCUGCCAAGCAAGUUAAAUGAGGUUUAUCCCAGAUUCAUCCACUUUACCCUUGAGCCACAGGAAGAUCUGGGAGUCAGCGGUCAAGCUCUCAGUCGGAAAGUCUAAAAGGUAUUGAAUGUUUGGACAGACAGCCUGACACCGUGCAGGGAAGUAAGUACUCAUUUAUUUGCACGGGAAUUGUGCAUUGACUCUAAUAAAGCAAAACCAUUACAAGCAUUUCAGCCGGGGAGUGACCUCUUAGAAAAAUAGCAACUAGAAAUUCACUAUGACACACUCUCUAUUACCAACAGAAUGUGAAGAAAACGUCACUCUCGAUCUACUUUGUUUUCUCUUUACUUUCGGUAAACAUAAAUAUUUAUUAAACAAUAUUGCUUACCAUCUAGAUUUCCCUUAUCCCUGUAUCCCCUUAAGUUUCAAGUUCACUAACAUGGACUUGUCCUGCCUAAAGGGUUGUUAAGGACCUGAUUCUCAAGAGGGGGAUAUUCUUUGCCCACUUUUUCAUCUCUGUCCUUUUAUUUACACUGAAAUGCCUCAAGUAUAUCCUCUCUACCUCU